This 375-nucleotide ribosomal RNA is filed under the name uncultured organism. RNAcentral's name for it is "partial 16S ribosomal RNA". It matches the Rfam family "Bacterial small subunit ribosomal RNA", at positions 527 to 896 of the family's 1533-position model. The record is from RNAcentral.
GUAGGUGGCAAGCGUUGUCCGGGAAUUAUUGGGGCGUAAAGCGCGCGCAGGCGGUUCUUUAAGUCUGAUGUGAAAGCCCACGGGCUCAACCGUGGAGGGUCAUUGGAAACUGGAGAACUUGAGUACAGAAGAGGAGAGCGGAAUUCCACGUGUAGCGGUGAAAUGCGUAGAGAUGUGGAGGAACACCAGUGGCGAAGGCGGCUUUCUGGUCUGUAACUGACGCUGAGGCGCGAAAGCGUGGGGAGCAAACAGGAUUAGAUACCCUGGUAGUCCACGCCGUAAACGAUGAGUGCUAAGUGUUAGGGGGUUUCCGCCCCUUGGUGCUGCAGCUAACGCAUUAAGCACUCCGCCUGGGGAGUACGGCCGCAAAGGCUG